This 447-nucleotide ribosomal RNA is filed under the name uncultured bacterium. RNAcentral describes it as "bacterial SSU rRNA". It matches the Rfam family "Bacterial small subunit ribosomal RNA", at positions 354 to 796 of the family's 1533-position model. The record is from RNAcentral.
GUCGAGAAUCUUCCGCAAUGGGCGAAAGCCUGACGGAGCGACACCGCGUGCAGGAUGAAGGCCUUCGGGUUGUAAACUGCUGUCACGCUCUAGGAAUGGCGCGUUGUUAACAGCAACGCGUUUGACUAAAGCGAGAGGAAGUACCGGCUAACUCUGUGCCAGCAGCCGCGGUAAGACAGAGGGUGCUAGCGUUGUUCGGAUUCACUGGGCAUAAAGCGCACGUAGGCGGCUGGGUUUGUUCGAUGUGAAAGCCCCCGGCUCAACCGGGGAACAGCAUCGAAUACGGCCCGGCUCGAGGACGGUUGGGGUGAGUGGAACUCCUGGUGGAGCGGUGAAAUGCGUAGAUAUCAGGAGGAACACCGGUGGCGAAAGCGGCUCACUGGACCGUUUCUGACGCUGAGGUGCGAAAGCUAGGGGAGCAAACGGGAUUAGAAACCCCGGUAGUCC